CCUCCUUUCUAAGGACGCAUCGUGAAAUAUAUUGGCGCCGUCUACGCAUCCCUUCCGAGCUCGAAAUAACAUUAGGACUAUCGUUGUAUCAGCAACAGUAAGUCUGUUGAUCCGAUAUGCGCUUGCCUUAUGGGGGCGUAGCUCAGUUGGGAGAGCGACGGCUUUGCAAGCCGUAGGUCGUCGGUUCGAACCCGUCCGCCUCCACCAAAUCUAUUUGGAUCUUGGUGAUUAUCAGGUUUGGGCUAGUAGCUCAGUUGGUUAGAGCGCGCGCUUGAUAAGCGUGAGGUCGGAAGUUCAAGUCUUCCCUGGCCCACCAUUUUUUUACGACCUAGGAGAGUGAAAUACUUAUUCCUAAGGUCGUAGCGCCCUAGUGUUAACGAAGUGAACAGUAAUGUCGCUUUGUGUUUUUUGAUUCGAGCUUGGAAGUUAUAGUUUUUGCUGACGUAAACUACGUCAGCGGGAAUGUGUUCUUUGACAUGGUGA
RNAcentral lists this transfer RNA (483 nucleotides) under uncultured Alphaproteobacteria bacterium. RNAcentral's name for it is "partial 16S-23S ribosomal RNA intergenic spacer". The stretch from base 240 to 313 matches the Rfam family "tRNA". Lineage: Bacteria; Pseudomonadati; Pseudomonadota; Alphaproteobacteria. The record is from RNAcentral.